Pelobates cultripes (western spadefoot toad) is the source of this 216-nucleotide non-coding RNA. NCBI's taxonomy places the organism in Eukaryota, Metazoa, Chordata, Amphibia, Anura, Pelobatidae. The record is from the annotation of a GenBank genome assembly.
AGAAUAUCGGUGACGACAAGAGUGUCAACUUGUCAGCCUAAUUAUUGCUGAAAUUAAAGUGUGCAUUGGGAUAUGGUGUGUACAGUGUCUAAAUAUCAGUGAAUCCCUCUGAGAUUUCUAAAAGGGGGCUGCACUGUCCAUAAAUACUGACAAAUAUCACUCUGCUAGGCAUUGUGUCUCGUUCUUUCAAUCCACGGUUAUCAAAUCGUGGCCACC